GUAUCCUGACCGUGCUAAGGUAGCAUAAUAGCUUGCCUUUUAAUUAAAGGCUUGUAUGAACGAACCAACGAGAGUUUGACUGUCUCCUAGAUAAACACGAAACUUAACCUUUAUGUGAAAAGGCAUAAAUUAAACUAAAAGACAAAAAGACCCUGUCGAGCUUAAUUGUCAACCCCCCCCAAAAAAAGUCUUUUACUCUUUCUGGGAAAUAAAACAAUUUAGUUGGGGCAACAAGGGAACACCCAAACCUUCCCUUAUAAAAUUUAUCCUAAUUUAUAGACCCCCCAAUCGGGCCAAAAGAUAAAAGCUACCGCAGGGAUAACAGGUUAAUUUUUCUCGAGAGUACACAUUAACAGAAAAGAUUGGCACCUCGAUGUUGGCUUAGGA
This 387-nucleotide ribosomal RNA is filed under the name Euphrosinopsis cf. antarctica MB. RNAcentral describes it as "partial 16S ribosomal RNA". It matches the Rfam family "Bacterial large subunit ribosomal RNA", at positions 1936 to 2542 of the family's 2925-position model. Lineage: Eukaryota; Metazoa; Annelida; Polychaeta; Eunicida; Euphrosinidae. The record is from RNAcentral.